Molecule: small RNA, 846 nt
Filed under: Pan troglodytes (chimpanzee)
Lineage: Eukaryota; Metazoa; Chordata; Mammalia; Primates; Hominidae
Description: processed transcript
Source: RNAcentral
CAGUAAUGUCCUGGGCCUUCACAUUCAUUCACCACUCACUGACUCACCCAGAGCAACUUCCAGUCCUCCAAGCCCCAUUCAUGAGGGAGACCAAGACAUCAUUGUUUUGAAGUUUCUGAAAGUGUUGGGAGGCAAAAAUUCAGGUGCCUGGGGGAGAAAUGGAAGGCCACAAGGCAGAAGAAGAGGUGCUAGAUGUUCUCCGACUGAACGUGGGUGGCUGUAUUUACACAGCCCGGCGGGAGUCCUUGUGCCGCUUCAAGGACUCCAUGUUGGCAUCUAUGUUCAGUGGUCGCUUUCCUCUAAAAACAGAUGAGUCAGGGGCUUGUGUUAUUGACCGUGAUGGACGUCUAUUUAAAUACCUUUUGGAUUACCUUCAUGGAGAAGUUCAGAUUCCCACAGAUGAGCAAACCCGCAUCGCCCUGCAGGAAGAGGCUGAUUACUUUGGCAUCCCUUAUCCAUACAGCCUGUCUGACCAUUUGGCCAAUGAAAUGGAGACAUAUUCUUUAAGGCUUUAACAGACUUCUGUGAUUCAUAUGGCUUAGUCUGCAAUAAACCAACAGUUUGGGUUCUCCACUAUCUUAACACAUCUGGUGCAAGCUGUGAGAGUCGAAUUAUUGGUGUAUAUGCCACAAAAACUGAUGGAACAGACGCUAUUGAAAAGCAGCUGGGAGGAAGAAUUCACAGCAAAAGCAUUUUUAAAAGAGAGGCGGGAAAUAAUGUUCAGUACAUUUGGAGCUAUUAUUCAGUAGCAGAGUUGAAGAAAAUGAUGGAUGCCUUUGAUGCUUGGGAAGGAAAAGGUGUUAGCUACUGGCGGGUGCCUCAUGAGCUGAUAGAGUGUUGGACUCU